Non-coding RNA from Podarcis lilfordi (Lilford's wall lizard), 96 nucleotides. Lineage: Eukaryota; Metazoa; Chordata; Lepidosauria; Squamata; Lacertidae. The record is from the annotation of a GenBank genome assembly.
UCUCCAGCUGUUUUUGGACUGCAGCUCCCAUCAUCUCUGACCAUGGGUCCUACGAGCUAGGGAGGAUGAGAGUUGUAGUCCAAAAACAGCUGCAAA